AUGCUACUGCCUCCGUCCGAAAAUACUUGUCAUCAAAAUGGAUAAAAAGAGAUGAAUGUAGAAAUAAAAUACGUCUAGAUACAUCCUCUUUUAUCUAUUUUGAUGACAAGUAUUUUCGGACGGAGGGAGUAUAUG
This is a non-coding RNA of Triticum aestivum (bread wheat), 135 nucleotides long. NCBI's taxonomy places the organism in Eukaryota, Viridiplantae, Streptophyta, Magnoliopsida, Poales, Poaceae. The record is from Rfam.